GUGAGGAGGAGGAGGAGGAGGAGGAUGUGGCGCGCGGAGGGGAAAUGGCUGCCGAAAACAAGCCGGAAGGCUUCCAAGUUGUCACUGACCAAAUGAUCAUGGUAACAGCAAUGGCAGUCAUGUAAAAAUUUUCCUACCCAAGAAGCUGCUU
Molecule: long non-coding RNA, 151 nt
Organism: Polypterus senegalus (gray bichir)
Lineage: Eukaryota; Metazoa; Chordata; Cladistia; Polypteriformes; Polypteridae
Exons: 3
Source: RefSeq, a predicted model, not a curated record